UACGUAGGGUCCGAGCGUUGUCCGGAGUUACUGGGCGUAAAGCGCGCGCAGGUGGUUCCCUAAGCCCGGCGUGAAAGCCCCCGGCUCAACCGGGGAGGGUCGUCGGGGACUGGUGAACUUGAGGGCGGCAGGGGCUGGUGGAAUCCCCGGUGUAGUGGUGAAAUGCGUAGAGAUCGGGGGGAACACCCGUGGCGAAGGCGGCCAGCUGGGCCGACCCUGACACUGAGGCGCGAAAGCUAGGGGAGCAAACAGG
Molecule: ribosomal RNA, 253 nt
Filed under: uncultured bacterium
Lineage: Bacteria
Description: partial 16S ribosomal RNA
Rfam family: Bacterial small subunit ribosomal RNA
Source: RNAcentral